GGGGAAACUCGAGAACCGCCACCAACGGGGGCCCAGCCCCACUGCAACCCCGUUCACCCCGCUCCCCUUUCCCAGUCACUGCCCACCUCACCUCGGGAUCUCAGAGACCACUGAACCUGGUCGCAGACACUCCGUCUGUCUCCAGUCAAUGGAGACGCGAAGCGGAACGAACGCUGGGCCUACGCACGCUUAGAGAUACGAGUCUGCGACCAAUCAGAAAGGAUCGUCCGAUUGCCUAACCAAUCAUUGUGCUGCUGCUCUGCCUGACAGCCUACGUCACGAACAGUCGCCUUAACAACCGCCCACACCUCUCACCCUGGCGGAGAACCGGUACCGCACCAUCUCUCACCACAGCUCAGCCAACCAAUAGCCAGCCGAGUACCGGCGCCAGGGCCCGCCUAUUGGCCCGCGAGCCGCGGGGGCGCACGCGUGGAAGCGGUUUAGGCUCGGUGAUAGGGGAGAACGAGUGGAGUGGCCCGCCGCUCGGGACCUGACCUGCGGUCUUCCCGCCUCUGAGGGGACUCUGAGGGGGCGGUGGUAGGAAGCGGGACUGGACCUCGAGAACGAACCCCGGCUUAGGCUGAGGACAGAAAGCUGUUAUCUUAGGGGCGACAGAUGAGGGAAGUAGAGAUGGUCCUGCAAAAUGAGGAACACGAGCAGGGUGGUGUCGGCCGGGUGCCUCGCGACAGAGGCCUCACUCACCCUGCAGUGCAGGCGCCCGGGUCGCCAUCCGUGUCUCCCCGGCGCUUGCCGCUGCGUCCUCUCUGCGGUCCCUCCGCUCUCCGACCGGUGCAGGCUAGUGUCAUCUCACCUUUCCUGCCUGUCCCCCCACGUGCCCUCAGGAGUCGCUCCGGUCUGCUGGGCUCGCUCCAUCCCACAACCCUAGGUUCUCAACUCUUAAUUCGGUUCCCCAUACCUCUCCUUAGGAGCUUCUGCAGCUUCACAGAAACAGUUGGAGAGCAGCUGACUCAGACAGGUUUCUAACUAUAAAAAUCUCCUGAUGGAAAAACCAGAAGGAAGUGAUGAUGGUGGGGAGAACAAGCUGGAUAAGGUCUCAGCAAGCAAAUAUGAGACAAGACACCCUCUUUAGCUCUCCUGAGCAACCCUAAUGGAGAAGUGAAACAGCAAUUGUUCAUGGCAGUACACAUGCAGGCAAGAUUUUAAUACAGCACCACUGUCACUUACAGGUAAAAAUGGUCAAGUGAAAAAGAAGGCUACAAAGUGCAAUGAAUUUGGCUACACCUAACAGCAAACACCAAUUAAAAAUGGCUAAUCCAAGAUAAGCAUUUGUUCCUUUCUUGGGUAAAGGAAGAUGGAGAUAGAUAGUCUAGGAUGAGCAUGGCAGCUCAUGAUGCUUCCAGGGACCUUUCUGUCAUUCUGGCUGGGCAUAGUGGUGUACACCUGUAAUCCCAGCUCUCAGGAGGC
This 1425-nucleotide long non-coding RNA is filed under the name Heterocephalus glaber (naked mole-rat). RNAcentral describes it as "lncRNA (ENSHGLG00100042669.1)". Lineage: Eukaryota; Metazoa; Chordata; Mammalia; Rodentia; Bathyergidae. The record is from RNAcentral.